This 248-nucleotide long non-coding RNA is filed under the name Carica papaya (papaya). RNAcentral's name for it is "long non-coding RNA (CPAP_LNC006986)". The record is from RNAcentral. Lineage: Eukaryota; Viridiplantae; Streptophyta; Magnoliopsida; Brassicales; Caricaceae.
GAAAAAUAGAAAAUUGUGUGAUUAAGUGAAUGGAUGAAACGGUAGCCUUACUGGAUAUCCUAGGAGAUGGUGGACGGACCGGGUACAAUAGAGAACUUUACUGUGAAUGUUAUCUCACACCAGACGGGGUAUCGAGACUUGGUAAUUUGGUGUUCAUACUGGACGGGGCAUAGGGACGGCCCAUUUCACCCUCAUACUGGACGGGUAUUGAGGUUUAGUAAUUUGGUGCUCAUACUGGAUGAGAUAUG